UACGUAGGGAGCAAGCGUUGUUCGGAUUUACUGGGCGUAAAGGGUUCGUAGGUGGCCAACUAAGUCAGACGUGAAAUCCCUCGGCUUAACCGGGGAACUGCGUCCGAUACUGGAUGGCUUGAGUAUGGGAGAGGGAUGCGGAAUUCCAGGUGUAGCGGUGAAAUGCGUAGAUAUCUGGAGGAACACCGGUGGCGAAGGCGGCAUCCUGGACCAUUACUGACGCUGAGGCUCGAAAGCGUGGGGAGCAAACAGG
This 253-nucleotide ribosomal RNA is filed under the name uncultured bacterium. RNAcentral's name for it is "partial 16S ribosomal RNA". It matches the Rfam family "Bacterial small subunit ribosomal RNA", at positions 524 to 776 of the family's 1533-position model. The record is from RNAcentral.